UGGGAGGUCGUUCAAUGGUAGGACACACGGCUCUGGACCGUGGAAUCGGGGUUCGAAUCCCUGCCUCCCAGCCA
This 74-nucleotide transfer RNA is filed under the name Acidobacteriota bacterium. RNAcentral describes it as "Acidobacteria bacterium (freshwater sediment metagenome) tRNA-Gln". It matches the Rfam family "tRNA". From Rfam's summary of the family: Transfer RNA (tRNA) molecules are approximately 80 nucleotides in length. Their secondary structure includes four short double-helical elements and three loops (D, anti-codon, and T loops). The record is from RNAcentral. Lineage: Bacteria; Pseudomonadati; Acidobacteriota. RNAcentral also lists the same sequence under 3 other names.